This 407-nucleotide ribosomal RNA is filed under the name uncultured bacterium. Its description in RNAcentral is "partial 16S ribosomal RNA". It matches the Rfam family "Bacterial small subunit ribosomal RNA", at positions 30 to 526 of the family's 1533-position model. The record is from RNAcentral.
AUUGAACGCUAGCGGGAUGCCUAACACAUGCAAGUCGAACGGAGUGGCGGACGGGUGAGCAAUAUAUCGGAACGUGCGUAGUAGCGGGGGAUAAGUACUAGAAAGAGUGGCUACUACCGCAUACUUUUGGAGCGGCCGAUGUCGGAUUAGCUAGUUGGGGGGGUAAAGGCUCACCAAGGCAAAGAUCCGUAGCUGGUUUGAGAGGACGACCAGCCACACUGGGACUGAGACACGGCCCAGACUCCUACGGGAGGCAGCAGUGGGGAAUUUUGGACAAUGGGCGAAAGCCUGAUCCAGCCAUCCCGCGUGUAUGAAGAAGGCCUUCGGGUUGUAAAGUACUUUUGGCAGAGAAGCGGUAUCUGCAGAAUAAGCACCGGCUAACUACGUGCCAGUAGCCGCGGUAAUAC